Molecule: long non-coding RNA, 512 nt
Organism: Scophthalmus maximus (turbot)
Lineage: Eukaryota; Metazoa; Chordata; Actinopteri; Pleuronectiformes; Scophthalmidae
Exons: 3
Source: RefSeq, a predicted model, not a curated record
AUUCUAGUUUCUUGGGUACUCCCAGUGACUGUAACAGUAUCUGUCGACAAUGAAGAGGACCUCAAAGCACAAGUGGAGUUUCAAGGCGGGAUGAACAUCCAUAAAAGGACAGAAUUAAAAUGACGCCCUGUGAGAGAAGAUGAGAGAGCUGUUUUAGACAUUCAGAGUUGAUGAAGAAAAAUAGAUGGAACACCAGAAGAAAAAGAGGGGGAGUUACAUUUCUGCAAUAUGCAAGGCCUUCCCCUUCAAAAUAACAAACAAUAUUGUCUGUCUGCCCGGGUCAAAGGUCAGGAGACAAUCACAGCCAGAUCUGGAGCACCUGUGCCAAGAAUAAAAAGUCCCAGCUUUCCUGCUGCUGGCACCCACAGAUGUUUGCUAUGUUUGGUAUUGUAUAUGUUACACUACAUGAUCCACAAACACACACGAACACCACUGAUGCCACUGACUUGCAUACCUCAUAUCAUUGUUACUCUUGUUUAUUUACGUUAGCUAUAAUAAAUAGCUUAAUUUUG